RNAcentral lists this ribosomal RNA (447 nucleotides) under uncultured Pelotomaculum sp. RNAcentral's name for it is "bacterial SSU rRNA". It matches the Rfam family "Bacterial small subunit ribosomal RNA", at positions 933 to 1382 of the family's 1533-position model. The record is from RNAcentral. Lineage: Bacteria; Bacillati; Bacillota; Clostridia; Eubacteriales; Desulfotomaculaceae.
UGGAGUAUGUGGUUUAAUUCGACGCAACGCGAAGAACCUUACCAGGCCUUGACAUACUCGGCAAAGCUCUAGAGAUAGAGUGGAGGUUAUCCGGGAUACAGGUGGUGCAUGGUUGUCGUCAGCUCGUGUCGUGAGAUGUUGGGUUAAGUCCCGCAACGAGCGCAACCCCUACGUUUAGUUGCUAACGCGUGAAGGCGAGCACUCUAGACGAACUGCCGUUGACAAAACGGAGGAAGGUGGGGAUGACGUCAAAUCAUCAUGCCCCUUAUGUUCUGGGCUACACACGUGCUACAAUGGCCGGUACAGACGGACGCAAAGCCGCGAGGUGGAGCAAAUCCUAAAAAGCCAGUCUCAGUUCGGAUUGCAGGCUGCAAUUCGCCUGCAUGAAGUCGGAAUCGCUAGUAAUCGCAGGUCAGCAUACUCGCGGUCGAAUACGUUCCGGGCCUU